This 428-nucleotide ribosomal RNA is filed under the name uncultured bacterium. Its description in RNAcentral is "partial 16S ribosomal RNA". It matches the Rfam family "Bacterial small subunit ribosomal RNA", at positions 354 to 796 of the family's 1533-position model. The record is from RNAcentral.
GUGGGGAAUAUUGGGCAAUGGGGGAAACCCUGACCCAGCAACGCCGCGUGAAGGAAGACGGUUUUCGGAUUGUAAACUUCUUUUAUCGGGGACGAAAAAAAUGACGGUACCCGAAGAAAAAGCCACGGCUAACUACGUGCCAGCAGCCGCGGUAAUACGUAGGUGGCGAGCGUUAUCCGGAUUUACUGGGAGUAAAGGGCGUGUAGGCGGGAGUGCAAGUCAGAUGUGAAAAUUAUGGGCUCAACCCAUAACCUGCAUUUGAAACUGUUCUUCUUGAGUGAUGGAGAGGCAGGCGGAAUUCCGUGUGUAGCGGUGAAAUGCGUAGAUAUACGGAGGAACACCAGUGGCGAAGGCGGCCUGCUGGACAUUAACUGACGCUGAGGCGCGAAAGCGUGGGGAGCAAACAGGAUUAGAUACCCGGGUAGUCC